GUUCUCUCCCGCGCUCAGCGCUGCACUGGGCGGCCGCUGCACUGUCCCUCCCCCAGAUAGUCCCUCGCUCUCUCUCCGCACCGCAUGCCUGGCACCCACCCCCUCCACAGUGGGCGGCGACCCAGCGGCUCGGAUCGGAUUCGCGCAGCCAGCACUGCAGUGAGAGAGAGUGAGUGAGCCAGGUAGGGGCAGAGAGCUGCGAGUGCGAGCGCGCCCCCCCCCAGAUGUUGCGCCCGGUGCGGCCGGCCCCCCUUGCACCCCCCACGCUACGCCACUGCCUUCCAGUGAGCGCUCAGGGCUGAUUUCCUUCAGAAUGUAGAGGUUUGAUCUUCUUGCAGUCCAUGGGAUUCUCAAGAGUCUCCUCCAGCACCAGAAUUCAAAAGCAUCCAUUCUUCGGCGAUCAGCCUUCUUUAUGGUCCAGCUCUCACUUCCAUACAUCACUACUGGGAAAACCAUGGCUUUAACUAUACAGAUAACAGUGAGCAAUUCUUUCUUCCAGGCUAGGGCUUGCUUCCUUGUUGCUUGUGCUGGCUGGGACGGAUGGGAGUCCGAAACGUCUGGAGGGUGCCACGUUGGCGAAAACCGACUUGUGCCGCUGAUGAAUCAGCCACAAGGACAUUCUCUUUCCUUUCACAACCUUACUGUUUUGUUUGCAAGAUUAAUUGUGGCAGGGCUCACGUUUGCACCCUGAGAAGGGAUUUCCUGCUUGGUUGCCCAACUUGCUAUUGACCUCAUUGGAUUCACAGGGAACAUCAUCAGAUUGGCAGCUGCCUCAGGUGACAAGGGAAGAGGAAGAGGAGGAGGAGAGCAGGUGGGAGCGAAACCUCCAUCAAGGCUCAGAUGCAGAAGGAAACCUUCCAUGCCAACGCUAGAUGGCAGUCUAGGGUUAUGCUUUGGAGACUUCACAGUACAUUUAAAGCAGUACCAAUCCAAUUUCAUCCGUCAUGCCUCCCCCCACAGAAUCCCGGGAAGUGUAAUUUCUUAUUUCUUUUUUUAAAAAAAUUGCAUUUAAUUUAUUUGUUAACAUUCUUAUAUUACAUCGGUAAAUGUUGUCAUAUUACAUUACAGACUUACUAUAAUAUCAUUUCCAACAUGUAUACAAAAAUUAUAUACAAAUUUUAUAUACCUAGAAAGAAAUUGAAACAAAAAGAAGGAACAAAGAGAAAAAACAAAAACAAAUCCCCCCCCAAAUCAUAUGCGUACCAACACACUAGACUUCCUGUCUUUCCCACUGUAUAUUCCUUUUUUUACAAAUGAAUGUACUCUUAUUAUUGUAUAUUUCCUUAUCCUUUUGUAUAUUAUCCUUAUAUAUUAUUCCUUAUAUAUUAUUGUAUAUUAUAAUAUACAUUCUUAUAUCAAUAUGUGCCCUUAGUCUUAUUUCUCAACUCAGUCUCACUCCAACGCAUAGCUGUCAACUUUUCCCUUUUUUAAAGGGAAAUUUCCUUAUUCCAAAUAGGAUUCCUCGCAAGAAAAGGGGAAAGUUGACAGCUGUGCUCCACCGUCAAUCAAAUGCUAGCACACAUAGCGAACCUUUACUGUAUAGGAAGGGUUAAGGAUGCUGAGAGUUGUUAGGAGACAGUUGCCAACAGAUAAAAACAUUGGCGGGAUUAUUGCAGUAACCUGCAGCUUCAGAAGAGUAUAUCUAUUUAAAGUCAGUGCUUAUUUCUGGGGGGGACACAGGGGGGUGCAUACCCCAAAGCAUUUUGUGAAUCUAUGUUUGGCCUCAUUGAGGGGCAGAAUUUCAAUAUGAGUAGGAAAAUGAGAGUACCCCUAAACCUUUUUUCUUAAGGAAAAAGCACUGGAAUUGCAUGAACACUGUUCCACAGCAUUUGAUAUUUUCAUUUACAUACAUUCAUUCGAAAUAAGAUGGGUUUAUGAAGCAAUUCUAUAUCCUCCCACCACACUGACAAAUAAUUCUAUGAAACAGUAGCCUAUAUCCGGAAUCACUGUUCAGUGUUGGACAUCAUAUUUGCUGAAUACACAAAGCUUCACAGCUUGUCUUUCAUUGCUUCAUUUAAAGAUUUUCAGAGACUUUGAGACAAAAGAUUUCAUUGCGGACUUGUUAUGGUUUGAAGGAAUUCUAUAAAAGAUUGUCUACUGUGUAUGUACAUGGUCAUUGUGUUGCCUAGACAUUGCUGACGUCAUCUUCCAUGUGACAGCCCUUCAGGUCUUUGAGGAUGACCAUCAUAUCACCUCUCCGUUUUCUCUUCUCCAGGCUAAACAGACUCAACUCCCUCAACUGCUACUCAUAAGUUUUGGCUACCAGAUUCUUGGUCAUCCUCUUCUGCACACCUUCCAGCUUGUCAACAUCCUUAAAUUGUGGUACCCAGAAUUGGACACAGUAUUCCAGGUGUGGUCUGACCAAGGCAGAAUAGAGUGGGACUAUGACUUCCCUUGAUCUGGACACUAGACUUCUGUUGAUGCAGCCUAGAAUAGCAUUAGCCUUUUUUGCUGCUGCAUCAGCCUGAUGUCUCACGUUCAGUUUGUGGUCUACUAAGAACUCUAAGACUCUUGACUUUACAUGCACCAGACCAAAACCAUGAUUACCCAACCACAAACUUCAUAGAAAAGUCUGUGAGAAGGAAAUAAUUAAAAUUAGCAUGCUGUCCUUAUGUUGACAACACCGGGGCUAUAAAUAACAAUUUGCAAAGUGCAUGCAUGACAGUGACACUCAACAGGAGUUUGGCCAACUCACCCAUUUGUACAUCAACGAAACUAACAAGAGCAGAGAUUCAUCACAUAGGUGGUGAACAGUUCACAAGGAACACAUGAGAAGGAUUGAUGCCCAGAUAAUCUGUCACUGCAGCUUUUGUCAAUCUAGUGCCCUCCAGAUGUUCUGAACUGCAACUCCCUUGGCAAGGGUCAAGAGACACGUGAAAUACAGCUCCCUUCUCAUAAUCCUCUGUAGCAUGGCAAAGGAUCCUUAAAGUUAAUUCAUCAAUUGCUUUUUGCAUGUCUCUCCAUCAUAUUUACAAACACAAGCAUGUUGUUGUUGUUGUUUAGUUGUUUAGUCGUGUCUGACUCUUUGUGACCCCCUGGACCAGAGCACGCCAGGCACUCCUGUCUUCUGCUGCCUCCCACAGUUUGGUCAAACUCAUGCUGGUAACUUUGAGAACACUAUCCAACCAUCUCGUCCUCUGUCGUCCCCUUCUCCUUAUGCCCUCCAUCUUUCCCAACAUCAGGGUCUUUUCUAGGGAGUCUUCUCUUCUCAUGAGUUGGCCAAAGUAUUGGAGCCUCAGCCUCAGGAUCUGUCCUUCCAGUGAGCACUCAGGGCUGAUUUCCUUCAGAAUGGAGAGGUUUGAUCUUCUUGCAGUCCAUGGGACUCUCAAGAGUCUCCUCCAGCACCACAAUUCAAAAGCAUCAAUUCUUUGGCAAUCGGCUUUCUUUAUGGUCCAGCUCUCACUUCCAUACAUCACUACUGGGAAAAAGCAAGUAAAAAUAGGACAGGAAACAACAGAUGAUAGGUUUGGAAACAAUACAAAAUGAAUACCUAAGACAGAGAAGUUUUUGCCCAGGUGGAAAAGCUUUCCAGAACAAAAAUGUAGGGAUUUAUAGGGACAGAACGACCUAAAUUGUGUAGAAAUUUAUUUAUUUAUGCUACUACAACAGCAAGAAUACUACUUGCCCAAAAGUGGAAAAAAGCAGAAGUCCCAGCAAAGGAAGAAUGGAUACAAAAACUUAUAGAAUAUGCAGAAAUGGCGAAACUUACCGGAAGAAUAAGAAAUCAAGAUAACAAACUUUUUAUAAAAGAAUGGAAAUGAUUUAUUGAAUAUUUACAGAUAAAUUGCAAACAGAUAAAAACCUUGGCAGGAUUAUUGUAAUAACCUGAAGUUUUGUAAUCCUGCCAGUGUUUUUAUUUGUUUGCAAUUUAUCUGUAAAUAUUCAAUUUAAAGUAGAUAAUUAAAUGAGCAAAUUAACUGAAUUUGGAUUUGCAGAAGAUAUUUUUUAAAAAAACAAUUUAAGGAACCGCAGAAAGAGGGGGAAGGAAGUCAAACUUUGAAAAGUGUUGUAAGAGAGUCAGUGUCAGAGAGGGGAAUAAAGGAAAAUGACCCUACCAAUAUCAGAAUUAUAGUGUUCUACCUAAAAAAAAAACCACGAGGAAAUGAACUGUGUCUCAGAGAAUGCAUCGUUUGAGAAGAAAUCAUUUUGAUGUGUCUUUUUACCUUUGCUAUCACUGAAAUGUGUAAGAAUGUAUGCUACUAUGCCUUUUUCAUGUAUCAUUGAAUGUAUCAUUUCACUGUGUCUUCUUUACCUUUUGCCAUCACUGAGAUAUAUAUGAGUGUAUCACUGAAAUGUACAAAGAUGUAUCCUUACUGAAAUGUAUCCAGGGAAAAGUACCUGUGCGUGCUACUGGAGCAGUAAUGUUCUGAGGAGGCAGGCAGGAAAUUGCCCGCAAGAGCCACAUACAAUGCUACAGUGCGUGCUCUUGACGGAUGCCUUGCCAGGACGGAGAAGGGACUGCAUAAGCGACAGUCAGUCCUUCUCCUCCUUUAGAGUAGCCUUGCAGACAAUCUCUCCAGCCGUGGGCAGGCUGCGCAAGAGCAAGGAAGCCAGGCUAGCAAGCGUGUAUCCAUCUCUCGCUGCCCGGGCUUCCUACAGCUUGCGACUUGACUUCCAGCCGCAGGAGGCUGAGCAAGGCUGAAGACGGUAGCCUGGGCAGUGAGGUUUGAUGGAUCUGCGCUGCUGUCUGAGCUCCUCUAAGCCUUGCUCCAGCCUCCAUGCUGGAGAGCGCAGAAGACUCGCAAGGCUAAAAAGCCAACUUUGAAAAAAUCUCUCAUCUCUACCUCUUUUUCUUUUCAGUCCUUUCUCCACCCCUUCUUUAACCUCUGGAUCAGUAUUUUUAUCUAGAUUAACGUUUUAGUUUGGGGGAAUAUUAUAAAAAGAAACUUUGCAGCUUUUAUUUUAGUAUACAAUAAAAACAGAUUAAACAAAACACAAAAGAAGGAAAUAGCACAGAAGAAGAAGAGAAAAUGGAAAGCCAUUUACCAGAGGUAGAUCUUAACCCUUGCCUCACCUGGGAGCUUCUCUGGGCAGGAAUUCCCUCGGCUUAAGUGGGGUGGGGGGAGAGUGGCAGGAUCCAAAAUGCAGCAGUCUGAUUGGUCCUAGAACAAUAGGAUUCAGAAUGCAGCAGUCUGAUUGGUCCACAGGAGCCACCCAAUCCAGCUCCAGGUGGAAGUGAAUCCACGACCUGAUUGGCCUACAGGUGAAUCCUGGAAUUAGCCAAUCAUGUGGGGCCCAUUGUGUAAAUAAUGUAUAUAAAGCAGAUAUUCUGAGGGAACUUCCAUUCCUCCUCACCACUAUGAGCUGAAUAAAGAGCAUGAAAUCCACUCUCGACUCCGAGUAUAUUUCAGAAACCUUUGGUUGCCUCCAGACAGCCUUUUUCUUUUUGCAGAAGGGAAAAUUCAAGUGUGUUCUGGAAACCGAGGGUUGCACAAUUAGAUUUGCUGGCUCUGCAACCGUAUAAUAACAUUUGUUGCUACAAUUAAAGUGGAGAAACGCUCUCUGCUGCCUGAACACAAUAAAUCCACUUUGGCCUUUGUGCGGUUCAGACAAUGUGCCAUGUAGCAUGGAAUGAAUGAAUGAUUUUAGGGGGCAGGUGUGCAAACACCCCACAAGCAGAGCAGGAUGAAAACGGAGAAAUCUGAGGGUUCCCUUGGACAAAAAACAAGGACACCAGGCAGGAAUACCAGAGCCAAACAGCAGCCAGUGGGCUUGGUCUUUAUUGAAGACUGUCGCGACAGGACUCCCACCUGCCUCAAGGUGGAACAAGAUGGAAGCCCCAAACAAAAGAGCCCCCAAACUUUUAUUAGCUGCUAAUCCCCAUGUUACACCCCCCCCAAACUACAUCACUAAUACGUCAUGGUUACAUCAUGAAAGGGGAGGUCUGGUGGCAGUAAUCUGAGCAUCCUGGACCCUGCCCCCUGGUUCUCCUUGCCCUCCACCAAACACCCAUCAAGUGUAACAAAAAAGAUAUUUACAUUUCCCUAUUUCCCAGCCAAGAUAAUCACACCCUUUUGUCUUCAUCUGGGUUUGUUAUUUCUGGAAUGGCUACCUGUCUGGCACUCAGGUAUCAGGAUGCCAGGGAUUAUCACUCAGGCAGAGGGGCUGCUGAGCAGCUGAACUCACAUGUCUAUAUGAAUUUCUGAAGUUUUCCCAGUGAUCCAGUACAUAGAGACAUUUAUCAGUGAAUUCUUACAUUUGGUAUUGUGCAGCAGAGGCCCUUUGAAUAGAUAGGAAGAAACUGCGAUGAAGUGUUUUGUGGGGACAAGCCACAAAAGCGAUUGUGCUGAUUUUGGUAGUGGGCUGCAUGUGCAUGAUAUCUGCUGGAGGGGCAACCCCCCCCCCCCAACCUAUACAUAAGUUCCUGUAACAGAAUGCAGGAUAAUGCUCGUUUUCGUAUCGCCACCCCCACAUCCCCAGAAAUAAAAAUUGGGGCAAAUGCUGGUUAAAGACCAGGCGCGGUCUGAGCCCUGCGUCGUCGUCAUCAUCAUCAUCAUUAUCAUCAUAAUUUAUUAUUUGUACCCCGCCCAUCUGGCUGGGUUUCGCCAGCCACUCUGGGGGGCUUCCACAGAGACCAAAAAUACACUAAAAUGUCACACAUUAAAAGCUUCCCUAAAGAGGGAAGGAUCAGGACCAAAACUUCCCCUGUGUUGCUGAGUCUGCCAUGUCUUUUUUAUUAUUAUUAUUGACUUAAGAAAAUUAUACUGACAGCAAAACGAAGAAGCCUAAAUAACAACAACAACAACAACAAAUUUAUUAUUUAUACCCCGCCCAUCUGGCUGGGCUUCCCCAGCCACUCUGGGCGGCUUCCAACAAAAUAUUAAAAUACUGUAAUACAUCAAACAUUAAAAGCUUCCCUAAACAGGGCUGCCUUCAGAUCUCUUCUAAAAGUCUGGUAGUUGUUCUUCUCUUUGACAUCUGGUGGGAGGGUGUUCCACAGGCCGGGUGCCACCACCGAGAAGGCCCUCUGCCUGGUUCCCUGUAGCUUUGCUUCUUGCAAUGAGGGAACCGCCAGAAGGCCCUCGGCGCUGGACCUCAGCGUCCGGGCAGAAUGAUGGGGGUGGAGACGCUCCUUCAGGUAUAUUGGGCCGAGGCCGUUUAGGGCUUUAAAGGUCAACACCAACACUUUGAAUUGUGCUCGGAAACGUCGUGAGAAGGAAGGCUGAAUCGAGGGUCACCCAGGCUAGAGAAUCUCUCCCACCCUGGAGAGCUGAGCUGUGGGGCCUCUGCCUUCAGCGCAGAGGCCGGCCUGAGACAGAUGGAGUGGUUUACACCCGGGGAAGGGGGGGCAGAGAUGAGUUGAAAGACGAUGACACCAGAGACACGUUUGAUGUCUCCAGUUUCUCAGUUCCAGCCUGAUGAAAAGGAAAAGUCUGGGAAAGGGAGGGGUGGACACCAACACACACAUCGCCUUUUGAAGUGCAGCCCGGUAAUUGCCACCACCACCAGCCUCUUUAAACCUUUUCUGCCAGGUGCGGAGACCUCCGUCUCUCUCCAUCUCUGAUAUCGGCAGCGCCCAAAGGGAUGAAAGGUUCCUUCGCCCCGCAAGGCCAGUUUCUGCAGAAUCAAGGCAGGUGGGAGGAAGGAAGGUUUUUCUUUCGGGGUGAAGGGCGGGAGGAGAGAUGGAGGAAGAUGAAAGCUUCCCUCCGCCCAGACCUGAACUGGCCUUGACCUUGGAUGAAGCCGUGUGAAGUCGGGAAGAUUCUGGAUUGGAAAUCGAGGUGAGUUCGGUUCAUCUCCUGUACUGAAAAAAAAAUAUAUUAUCUGGGCAGCAUCAGUGGAAAAAUACAGCAACAUUAACACUAGAUCAUAGGUAAAGGUAAAGGGACCCCUGACCGUUAGGUCCAGUUAUGGCCGACUCUGGGGUUGCGGCGCUCAUCUCACUUUGUUGGCCGAGGGAGCCGGCGUACAGCUUCCGGGUCAUGUGGCCAGCAUGACUAAGCCGCUUCUGGCGAACCAGAGCAGCACACGGAAACGCCAUUUACCUUCCCGCCGGAGCGGUACCUAUUUAUCUACUUGCACUUGGACGUGCUUUCGAACUGCUAGGUUGGCAGGAGCAGGGACUGAGCAACAGGAGCUCACCCUGUCGCGGGGAUUCGAACCGCCGACCUUCUGAUCGGCAAGUCCUAGGCUCUGUGGUUUAACCCACAGCGCCACCCGCGUCCCUUACACUAGAUCAUAGCAGCAUCUAAAACAACACAAAGCCAGUGUUUAGAGAUUAGGGCCCCUUUAGAUGGCCUGUGUGGUGCAACCACAUUUAGACUCCUGUGUGGACGGUUCUGGUCGCCUCAUCUCCAAAGGGAUAUUCUAGAGUUGGAAAAGGUGCAGAGAAAGGUAACCAAAAUUAUCAAGGGGGUGGAGUGAGUCCCCUUUCGAGAAAGGAUACAGCGCUGGGGACUUUUUAGUUCAGAGUAAAAAUGAGUAGUAAUAAAUAUUCUGUUGGGUGGCUUCCAACAGAAUAUUAAAAUACAAUAGUCUAUUAAACAUUAAAUUCUUCCCUAAAGAGGGAUGCCUUCAGAUGUCUUCUAAAAGUCUAGUAGUUGUUCUUCUCUUUGACAUCUAGUGGGAGGGCGUUCCACAGGGCGGGGGCCACUACCGAGAAGGCCCUCUGCCUGGUUCCCUGUAACUUGGCUUCUCGCAGGGAGGAAACCACCAGAAGGCCCUCGGCGCUGGACCUCAGUGUCCGGGUAGAACAAUGGGGGUGCAGACGCUCCUACCUAUAUGGCUUUAAAAGAAGAUUAGCCGACUGGCACCAAUUGGCCGGCCAAUUGGUGCCAAAGAAGGAUAGAAUUUUUUUAUGUACGCAACAACAGCAGCAAGAAUACUCAUCGCGAAGUAUUGGAAGACACAAGAUUUGCCCACCCAGGAAGAAUGGCAGAUGAAGUUGAUGGACUACAGGGAACUGGCGGAAAUGACUGGCAGAAUCCGAGACCAGGGAGAGGAGUCGGUGGAAGAAGAUUGGAAAAAGUUUAAAGACUAUCUACGGAAAUAUUGUAAAAUUAAUGAAUGUUAGAAAAAUGUCGAAAUGAAGUUAUAUGGCUUUAGUAGAAAUAUUAUAAGGAUUUAAGUACAGAUAGGUUAAUAGAGUAUUAAAGGAAAAAAUAAGGUUAGAAUGAGUUAAGAUAAUUAUAGGACAGAAAACAGAGGAAGAUGGAAAGGAAUUGCUGAAAUAAUUAACAGAAGUGGAAUACAAAAAGGGAGGUGUGAGGAGGUCGUGGAAAUAAGUGAAUGAAAGAUGGGAUAAUGAAAUUGUUUGAUUUAUUUUAUUGUCUUUGUCUUGUUUUGUUAAUUUGAUGUGUUGUAUUGUAUUGUUUUUCUUUUUCUUUUUUCUUCUUUUUUUUAGUGUUUUUGGAAAAAUAAUAAAUAUUAUUUUUCUAAAAAAAAGAAGAAGAUUAGGCAAAUUAAUGGAGGAGAAGGCCUCAGUUGGAGGCAGGAAUGCUUCUGAAUAGCCUGGAAACCACAGGAGGAAAGGGGGCUCUUGAGCUCAGGCCUCAUUCGUGGGUUUCCUGCAGGCAUCUGAUUGGCCGCUGUGAGAAGAGGAUGCUGGACUAGAUGGAGCAUUGGCCUGUCCCAGUCGCCUCUUUUCAUGUUCUUUUGCAUAUCUUGGAACUGUCAGUUUGCACAGAGAUUUGUUGCUGCAGCACAGCAAAUCCGUUUUGAGGAAAGAGAGGUGUUUUUGUGAAUUGGAAAGUGGUGGGGGGGAUGCAUUUUUAAAAUUGGGAGAAAUGGAAACACGCUGCGAUCAUAUCAGGUCGAACGCUCCUUUUCGUAUAAGGGUCCCAUAAACAACGCACAAUGAAUGUUCAAUAAAGGCAUGGUGCGGCUUAACCGCUGGGGAAGCUUUGCACAAGUAAAUCAGGAGGAAUCAGGAUAAAUAAACGCUGUCAGUAUUUUGCCAAGGGAUUAAAGAGCAUACCUGAACUUUAGGUUUGCACAACUGAGGUGAGCUAAAGCACUGUUCUUCCUUGGCACAACAAAUCUCCACCUUUAAAAAAAAGGAAGACUUUCUGCACUUGGGAAAUGCGUUGAAAAGAGUGGGAUGAACAAGUGAUGAUCAGAAAGAUGGGUAAGCGGCACACAAGCAAAUCAGAACAAAGGCUCCGUAAUGACCAAACCUCCAGCUAAACUUUGCACAAGCAGAUCAAUAAAUAGGCGUUAUUGCUCCUGUGGAGGGGAGUUCCAUAGGCUAACUCUGUGCUGCAAGAAGAAGUCUAUCCGUCCUGAAUCUUCCAACAACGUUCAGGUUCAUUGGAUGGCCACGAGUUCUCUCAUAAGAGCAGAAGAGUUUUUCUCUCUCCAUGCCAUUCUAGCUCAGCAGCUGCGACUGAAUUGCAGGCAGCCUUUGAAGAAAGCGAGAUCCCCCCCCCAAGCAGCUGUUUGGCACGGAGGGGGCGGAAGGCAGAGGGCCCACCCUGCUGCCAAAGAGCCGGCUGGUGCAAUUCCAGCUGGCUUCAAAGGCCUCCGCGCGCGCAUGGAUCCUGAGCGCGAGGGCGUCACACCUGUGCAUAGGUGUUGCACUCCUGAUAGAGACAAGUGUUUGGAAAUAAGUUGCAGGGAAGAAAUGAUCUCCGGCUGAAUCAAGGAAAGUAUCUUCCAGCAUUAGCUCUGGGCUUGUGGCUGGCUAGGCCACUGCAAGAGCAGUCAUGUUCACUCCCUGAUGGAGAUCCGCCUCACCAACAGGCUGCCCUACAGAUAUUUUUGGGGUCCCAUUCCCAUCCACCCCAUUAUUUUUGCUGGAAGCUCCUGAUGGGCUGAACCAGCCGUUGGGAAGCCAUACCUGGGAAAUCCCACAGAGGGCGCAACUGAUCCAGAUUAGGCUUCCCCACCAAAAAAUAAAAUUAAAAAUCCUGUAUGAGGAUAGAGGGAACUGGUUGAGAAAAAUCUGGGAGACAACACGUGUGACAAAAUUAACACACAAAAGGAAAGCUUUCAGUAAUAACCAACAAGCCAAUUUCAUUGAAAGAUGGGCUUUAUAUAUUCAGUUGUGGAAUGAACAGAUAAUAUUUCUCCUUAUUCCUAUUCCUCUUUCUCCUUUGUGUAGCAAGGGAAUUCCUGUGCAAAGAGGUGAGGUCUCUUUGAUACCUGAAAGGUUCAUUUGUUGGCAAAGUGGAAAGAAUCACCUUUUAUGCUCAGAUUUGACUUAAGAACUAAAAUGGGGGGGGGAGAGACUACAAAUAUUGGCUUCUGGGCAGCAGUCAAGUGUUAAAAAUAUUUAAACGAUGGCAGCAAGGAAGAGUUUGUCUAAAAUGUCAGGGGAACGACUUUCCAAAAUGCUGUUUUGUCCUGCUGUCUUGGGGGCAGGGAGAGAAUCAUCAAAUGGUAGAAUUGGAAGGGACUCUGGCGGUCAUUCUUGCAUUGCAACCCCGUGCAAUGCAAGAAUAUGCAGCUGUCCCAUACGGGAAUCGAACCUGCGACCUUGGCAUUAUUAGCACCACACUCUAACCAGCUGAGCUACAUCCACAUAUAUUUGGGGCUUCACUGGUGGGAACCUCAGGUGUUUAAACAAGAGUCAAUGUGGUGUGUUGUGGUUCGAGUGUGGGACUAGGACCUGAGAGAGCAGGGUUCGAAUCUGCAAGGAAUUCCCACACGGUGCGGUUGAUGCUGCCAGCAUUCAUGUGUCCUUUGCAGACAUCUUUGGAGCACAGAGUUGGUCUCUUAAUAGGCCCGGUGCCAGAAACCAAUUCCCUGUUGAAAUAAAAAAUAUAAGGUCUUAUACAUAUAAUAAAUGUUCAUAACUGCAUAUAUAAACCACAUGUCUGAAACCCCACAGAAAAGGUCCUGAAACCAUUUUGUCCUUCCCACAUUGACCUCAAAUAUUUAUCUGCAAGGUCAAAGGAAAAUGGAAAAGCCUCCCCAUUGUCUUUUUGUUCACAAAUCCUGUCUUAAGGGUAUGUCUGUGUAUGAAUAGGGUGAGCCUGUGACCUGGCUCAGGAACUAAGUAUUUAUCAUUACAAAAGACUGGUCAGGCUCCCCAGGGUAUCCAACCAUUAACAGGUAACCUGCCAGACAGGAGAUAAACCACGACAGGAGAUAAACAACAGGAGAUAAACAACGCACUCAGAUUUCUGUUGUAGACCGCCUCUUCUGUGCUGUAGGUAUGAUGUAUCUGGGGGGUGGUCUUGGACUCCAGGGCGGGCAAUUUAAAAUGUCUAUAUAAGGGCAGGCACACCUUUGUUCUGGGUCCUCCUCUUUUCCUGUGUGUGAGGGGAUCACCCUGUUGCAACAGUUCAAUAAAGAUCAGGCUUACGAGCUGCUUUGCUUCUCAAUAUUCUCUGGUUGGCCUCUGUUAUUUUCUCCAACCGAUGGAGAACCUACAAAGGACUCUAUAAGGGCUCUUGUGUCCCCCAUAAGGGAAUAAGGGCAGAUUUUUGUUUAUUACACCGUAGAUCACAUCCUUGAGGUUCUUCCAUUCUGCGCACAUGACCGAGCCAGUGUGGACGUGGUCGAGACAGGAGAUUAUGCCAGGAUAACCUUCUUGAGAGACCCCAACAGCAAUCUGAUGGGGUCCACAAUUUUCCUGGAUAGACAGACCCUGACUGCCUCAACAGCAAAAACUGGGGUCUUGGGGACCUACAAACAAGUGAGGACUCCAAUCCAGAAGCUUUAGACUACAACUCCCAUCAUCCCUUGCCACUGCCCAUGCUGUUUGCCAGGGCGAAGAAGAGCUGGGAGGAGUCCAACAACAUCUGGAGAUCCACACGUUCCCCAUGCCUGGUCCAGGUUUAGACUAGUUUAGGGCCCCCCCCCCCUUCCCCAGAGAUAAAUCCACUGGGCCACCUCUGGUGUUGACGCUGGUGUGUGUUUAUCAGACAGCACAGGUCUGCUGUUGGUGUUAAUUAGGAUUGUUGUUGCUUUUAACCUCCAGGGCUGGAGCAGAGUCCCUAACUAAUUAUCACCUGCUCGCUUUCAUUAGCAGCAAUUAAAGCGCUUCCAGGCCUCCCAAGGGGCUUGGCGUUAACCCUUCCCCUUCUCCAGCCUAUUGCUCCCAUCAACAAGCGCGUGCAAUGCAAGCCUUGGGACACCAGAGGGCAGCAGAAUCCCACCGCGACCUUGUUCCAGUAGAAUUGUAGGAUUGUAGCAUUGGAAGGGACCCGGGGGUCAUCUAGUCCAACCCCCGGCAAUGCAGGAAUCAUAGAUUUGAAGGGACAUGGAGAUACCCAACUUCAGCCUUUAACAGUCUUCUUGGCCUUUAACAGUUGUGUGUGACAGUCAGGAGUUCAACAGGAGUUAUUUUUCUUUAUCCAGGGAGCCCAGAGUUGAAGAGAGGUUCACCGGUUGAACUACUGCCUGCCACACAGCUCCCAAGGGUCCAGAUUCCAACUGGUGAGGGUUGCCAAGAAAGACUUGAAACCAGUUGAUCGAAUCCUACUCUGUGCAAUGAACAAAUGCAAGAUACGUUGCAGACUGAUGUGGUCUUGGGAGAGAGAUGAAACCCGAACGUUUUAGAAAUGUAUCUUAACAUGGGGAAAAUACUUAGUUUAGCAUACACUGAUCUCAAUUCAAUUAAUUCUUUGUGUUUAAAUCAAAAGGACUGAACUGUGCAAAACUGCUUAUGCACAAAUAUGGCAUAGAAUGAAUUUGACUGUGUAAAAUUUAAAAUAUGUUAACUAAAUAAUCAUAAUAAUCAACUCAGUAAGUACUUAAUUUGUGUCCAGUUCUGGGCACCACAGUUCAAGGAGGACACUGACAAACUGGAACGUGUCCAGAGGAGGGCAACCAAAAUGGUCAAAGGUCUGGAAACGAUGCCUUAUGAGGAACGGCUAAGGGAGCUGGGCAUGUUUAGCCUGGAGAAGAGGAGGUUAAGGGGUGAUCAGCGGCGUAGCGUGGGUUGUCAGCACCCGGGGCAAGGCAAGUAAUUUGCGCCCCCUAACCCGGGGCAAGGCAAGUAAUUUGCGCCCCCUAACCCCUAACCUGCCGCCGCUGCCAGCUUCUUCUUGCUGCUGCCUGGUCUGGUCUGGUGUGGUUCUCUCCCGCGCUCAGCGCUGCGCUGGGCGGCCGCUGCACUGUCCCUCCCCAGAUAGUCCCGCGCUCUCUCUCCGCACCGCACGCCUGGCACCCACCCCUCCACAGUGGGCGGCGACCCAGCGGCUCGGAUCGGAUUCGCACAGCCAGCACUGCAGUGAGAGAGAGUGAGUGAGCCAGGUAGGGGCAGAGAGCUGCGAGUGCGAGCGCGCCCCCCCAGAUGUUGCGCCCGGUGCGGCCGGCCCCCCCUGCACCCCCCACGCUACGCCACUGGGGGUGAUAUGAUAGCCAUGUUCAAAUAUAUAAAAGGAUGUCACAUAGAGGAGGGAGAAAGGUUGUUUUCUGCUGCUCCAGAGAAGCGGACACGGAGCAAUGGAUCCAAACUACAAGAAAGAAGAUUCCACCUAAACAUUAGGAAGAACUUCCUGACAGUAAGAGCUGUUCGACAGUGGAA
Podarcis lilfordi (Lilford's wall lizard) is the source of this 14416-nucleotide non-coding RNA. Lineage: Eukaryota; Metazoa; Chordata; Lepidosauria; Squamata; Lacertidae. The record is from the annotation of a GenBank genome assembly.